Molecule: long non-coding RNA, 5538 nt
Filed under: Lathyrus oleraceus (garden pea)
Lineage: Eukaryota; Viridiplantae; Streptophyta; Magnoliopsida; Fabales; Fabaceae
Description: Pisum sativum (pea) long non-coding RNA (PSAT_LNC020723)
Source: RNAcentral
UCAAACCAUAAUUAUAAGACCAAUAAGAGAAUGUGUCCAAUGGGUAUGGACUGUAUCAAAAUACAUACAUGCCGUAAUAAUUUCAUAUUAUAAAUCAUACAUAUGAAAAACUAGAUCAGUGCCCGCAGUAUGGUGAGUCGCGCUAGAAGUUAAAGAACACUGAAGUUAAUGAUGAUGAUAGUGUAUGCAAGAAGGAUCUUCAUGCCAAGGUGAUGUGAUACCUACCAAUAAAUCCAAGGUUUAAGAUAUUUUUAGUUAAUGUAAAUGACAUAAAGAAUAUUAGAUGACGUAUAGAUGAAAGAAAUUGUAGUGGAGAAAUUCGUCAUGCAACUGAUUCUUGGCAUUUUGCCAAAAUAAAUGUAACAGAAAUUAUAACUAAAUUGUGUUUAUUCUUAAAUUAUAUAUGUAAUAAAGUCAUUGAUCUAGAAAACUUAGGUGAAUUGCAACAUGAGGAUACAAUUAUCUUGUGUCAAUUGGAUAUGUAUUUCCCUACAUCAUUUUUUUUGAUAUUAUGGUUCACUUAAUUGUUUAUCUAGUCGGAGAUAUUACAUUUUGUGGUCUAAUUUAUUUAAGGUAGAUGUUUUCAUUAAAUAAAUACAUUAAUAUUUUUAAAGGGUAUACGAAGAAAAGUCACCAUAUGGAAGCUUCGAAUGUUGAAACGUACAUUGCAGAAGAAUAUAUUGAAGUUGGUUCAAACUAUUUGUCAGAAGUAGAUUUUAUAGGAAUUCCCAAGUCUCGUUAUGUUGAAAGAUAUGAAGGUUGAUGCACUCAAGGUUUAAAUGUUAAGACAAUGUUAUGAUAUAUAGGUAUUCAAGCACAUUUGUAUAUAUUAAAUAUUUUUAUUUAAGUUCAACCUUACUUAUCCACUCACAAAAGACUUAUCAAGGAAAAAUUCUCCCAGAUGAAUGAAAAAUAGUUGUCGAUAGAGCAUGACAAGAAAUUGAUAGAUUUGUUUAAUGAGGAUUUAUAAUAAUGGGAGUGCAUAUAAGACAAUUAAAUGAUGUCAUAUAUGCAUAAAUUUAAUGUAAUAACUUGGUUAUGAUUGAGGUUGAGUCGAUGUACUUCUCUAGUUCGAAAGAUAAGAAUCUUGUCAUGGCAUCUAUAUCGUACUUUGGAGUCAUUUAAGAGAUUUGGGAGAUUGAUUAUGUUAUAUUUAAAGUUCAUUUAUUUAAAUGCAAGUGGAUUGAUAAUAAUAUGGGUGUAUAAAUCGAUGAAUUAGAAUUCAUAUGGGUUAACAUUCGUCAUACAACUUAUAUGAACGAACCUUUUAUCAGGAAUCUCAAGAAAAACAAGGUUUUUAUGUCACUGAUCCUUCUAAUAAUAGAUGGUCAAUUGUUUUCCAAGAAAAAUAAAUUCAUACUACUGAUGAAAAUCAAGAUUUAACUCUGAAUAUUUUUCAGACUCCUUCUUUAUCAAUGCACAUGUGUAUCUCAUAUGAAGAAAAUGAUUCAGUUGAUGUGCAUGAUAUUCUUUAGGGUCAUCAAUAAGAGGUAUGGAAAACUAACAAGUAAACUUUUUUAUUGUUUGUUCAUAAUUUAUUGUUAUUUUCAUUUUUAAUAUUUAUAGUUAAUGUUGUUACAAUUCUAAUUGUUUUUAUAUUUUGUUCAACUUAUAAGUGUUUAAUAAAUGGGCAGUGAUCAUUAACAAAAGAAAACUUAUCUAGCGUAUGUUCGUUCACGUUGUACAAUUUGUUUCCUUGAGUUUUAUGAAUCCAAUUGAACCAUUGAUAUGUUUUAAUUUUGUUAUAAAAAAAUGAAUAUGUAUAAUUUUAAGUCACUCUCGACAUAUUUGAGUAGUCAUUAAAUAUAUGGUACAAAAUGUAUAUAAUUUUAGUUUUGAUGUAUUGUAUAGUUACUCCUUUAACCAUGCAGUUAUCAAAUAUAUGAUACAAAAUGUGUCAUUUAGGUUAUGUUUUUUUUUAAGUUAUAACAAAAAAAUAUAAAACUAAAAUAUAUAUAUAUAUAAUUCAUAGGAUUUCAAAUCAAUUAAUAGUCUCAACCAAUAUGAAAAGUGAUUCACCUAACAACUACUAUCAACUAAUGAGAAAAGUGAGACAUUUCACUUCGGUUCAAAGUCCAACCAAUAUAAAAAGUGAGAGAUUUAUCCUCAAUUAACCUUUCAAUCAAGAGAAAAUGUAGCGUGUUUUUUAUUUUUUUUUACCUUAUUCAAUAACCCAAAAAGAAAAAUGACUAAUUUUUCAUAACAUCUUGUCACCUGAGACCCCAACCUAGAUAAGGACCCUUUACCAAUCAAGAUUAAAACUCUUUUUUAUAGGAGUGUAUCUUAAAACUUCCAUUUAUCAAAACUCACAAUUUUUUUUGAAAACUUGCAUGCCAUUAUCUAAGAACGCCACUUUCAUUACUAAUAAGUCAUAUCUAAUUAUCUUAUAAUGAAGAAACCUCUGAAUCUUUAAACAUUCACAAAAUCUACUUUAAAAAUCAUACCAUCCUUCAGACCUCUUAGCCAAAUCCAUCACCUUAUUACCAUGAACUUGACAUAUUUUUCUCUUGAUCUAUUCUUAAAUAUUGUGAUUCGGUAAUGUGAAAAUAGUAGUUUCUAAUUAACAGGGAAGAAUCCCCAUUAAUUACCAGCUACCUAUGUCUAAUUUCUAUUAUUAUAAUUUAAAUUGUACUAGUUAGAAUAUUUGUUUAUAUUCUAAACACUACCAUAUAUAUUGAAUCAUUGAUGGAACAAAAAAUCUUGAAGCUCUCUAGAAGGUUUCUAAUGCUCAAUAAAAAUAUGGCAAUAUUGUUUAGUACUCAAUAGAGCAAUAUCGUUGAGACAAAUAUUGCAUGUGCUUCCAUAUGCAUAUAUAUAUAAACAUAACCAUAAAGUAGUAUUCAUAUCAAGCAAUUAUUAUUAUUCCCAAUGUCUCAACUCUUUCUUCGUUCUCUCUAAUAAUUAGUUUUUAGUACUAGAUAAAAUUUUGGACCAUGAGAUCAUAACUCAAUCAACUGUCAAGUUUUAAACGCAAUGAAUAUUUUUUAAUUAUUAGGUACAAAAAUAAAAAAGUACAAAUAUGAAAAAGUAUAAAUGCAAUGAAUUUCACUUAGGUACACAUAUGAAAAAACAAUACACAUUGGAAGAGAGACCACACUCUAGAGCCAACAAUUAAAUAGGUUGGUUACUUCUCUGGAUGUUGACCCGUCGAUAAAAAUUUGAGUCUUGAGAGUAUAUUUUUCUUAAGAUCUUGAAUUUAAAUCAUGUUAGUUCUGACUUUAAAUGAAAUCUUUUCUAAUAGACGGCGGAAUUGAUUCAUUUAGAUUAAUCAGUCGAAAUACUGGAUUCCGAACUUCAAAAAAUUAGGUUGGCUACUUGAGUUCCUAAAUUUAAUGUGUUAGUAGUCUCUAUUCAUUGCAUAGUUUUCCUAACCCUAAAAAACAUCCAUUUUAUACACUAGCCAUAUGUGUGCUUCUUCAAUGCCCAUCAUUUUUUAUGAACUUUAAAUGCAAAAUUGGGCCAUGCCAGCCAAUUUAAUGGCGCUAUUAAGGCUAUAUUGUAUGUCUAGGAGACCUCACAACAUAUGAGGAAAUUUGAAUCCUAUAAGUUUCUUUUUUGAGGACCACAAUAUUGUUCUAAAGUAGAAAGGAAUUUGACAAUAACCUUUUGAUGAGUGCAAUGAUUCUUUUGUGCCCACCCUUAAUCAUGGUGUCUCGAAUUUAGCUGUAUAAUCAUCCCAUUAAAUUUUCUUCACAAUUUGUAACCAAUAACAUUUGAUGAGUUAGAGUAUUUUCAAGAAGGUUGCUUUAGCUAACAUGGAAUCAGUUUAAUAGUCAUUUUCAUUAGAGCAUGAAAAAUUAUGGUGGCAAACAGAUUUCAUAGCUCAUAGAGGCAUCCUUUAUCUGUUCUCUUAGACUCGAGCACCACUAUUGAUUUAUGGUCGGUUGGAAGAUGAGGAAUUUUAAUAAAGGAAAAGAAAUUGGAUGGUAGGGGAGAGGAAGGGAUGAGUUUUAAUUAUCCAUACUUAGUCAUCAAAAUUUUUAAUUUAAUUUAAUAUUUUAUUUUAAUCUCUUAAUUAAAAAAUAUUACAAACUAUUCCUUUAACUUCAUUUAUAUUAUUUUAUUUGAUAUUUUAUGUCAAUUUCUAAUAAAAAAAAAUUGAUUAUGUGACGUGACAAAAAAGUCAUUGGUACAAAUUUGAGUCGGUAUAUGUAGUUGAAAAUGGAUACAUUAUUUAAAUUGAGAGGAUUUUGUUUCUGGGAGAACCUCGCUAUUUAAACUGUGUAUUAGUUUUUAAUUACAUAUGUCGAUUCAUAUUUAUAUCAAUGAUUUGCUAUCGUUUCACUAAAACUUAACAUUUUUUUCAAUAGAAAUUAUCGGGAUCAAAUAGUGUAACAUAAAUGAUGUUAAGAGACUAAUUUAUAAUAUUUUUUAAUUAAGUGACAAAGCUAAAAUAUUAAAUUAAAUUAAAGAACUAAAACAUGUAUUAAGCCUUUUAAUUAUAUAUAUAUAUAUAUAUAAGUAUAUUAUAUAUUAUAUUUACCUAUUAUAUAUAUAUAUAUAUAUAUAUAUAUAUAUAAUAUAUAUAUAUAUAUAUAAUUAUAUUAAUAAUAUAUAUUAAUAAUUUAUUUAUACCAUAAAAUUUUUAAUACUCAUUUAAUAAAAAAGGUUUUAAAAUUUUUAUCAAAAAGAAAAACUUGUUCAUUCAUAAAUAACACAAAUGGUUAAAUUAAAUAUUUAAUAUUUAAAUAUUUUAAUUGUAAAAUAAAAUAUUAUAAUAUCAUAAAUUCAUUAUAAAUGUUAAUUAGAUGAAUUUUAUUGGACGCACUACCAAUUGAUUAUCCAUUUAAUCUCAUUAAAUAAUUAUAAAUUAAAUAUGAAAUAUAUAAUUCAUAUACUAUAAUUAUAUAUAAGAUAUUAAGACUAAUACAAAUAAAAUAAUAGAUGAAAAAAUAUAAUGAAAUAAAUAAGAGUUGAUCAUAUAUAUAUAUAUAUAUAUAUACUAUAUAUAUUAUAUAUAUAUAUAUAUAUUAUAAAUAUAUAUAAUAUAUAAAAUAAUAUAAUAUAUAUAGUAUAUAUAUUAUAUAUAAUAUAUAUAUAUAUAUAUAUAUAAAGAAAGUACAUAUAAAAGAAAAUAUACAAUAGUCAUAACAUAUAGAUCUCACUAAACAAUUACAUAGCUAAUCAUGCAGAAAAAAUAUACUGAAAACAUAAUCAAUUAAAUUUAAAACACGAUCAACAACAUACAACUAAAUAGACAUAGAAUAAUAGAAUAUAAUAUAUAUAUAUAUAUAUAUAUAAUAUAUAUAUAUUAUAUAUAAACAUAUAUAUAUAUAUAUAAAAUAUAUAUUAGUUAGAUAAUAAUACUUCUUUUUGUUUAUUUUGAUUUUUUUUAUUAGAUAAAUGUUUCACUAUUAUUUUACAACAUUGUCCUAUGUAGCAUGAGUGUAUGGGGAAAAAGCACUUACCUUGCGUGUUUUCUAACUUUGAACGAUCAAGUGCUUAGUGCUCCAUUUUAUUAAGAAUUUCCGCAACGUAGAAAUGCCCAAGAUAAGUGGUAGUAAAAAGAGAGUGAUGAUUUUAUUUGUGUAACUUUUC